Molecule: long non-coding RNA, 1396 nt
Filed under: Cottoperca gobio
Lineage: Eukaryota; Metazoa; Chordata; Actinopteri; Perciformes; Bovichtidae
Description: lncRNA (ENSCGOG00000001247.1)
Source: RNAcentral
UGGGCUCUUAAACAUCAGAUCUUUAUCAACGAAAGCUGGAUUGGUAAAUGAUUUAAUAUCAGAUAAUAAGAUUGAUUUAUUUCGUCUCACUGAAAUCUGGCUGAGACAUGAAGAAUAUGUCAGUCUAAAUGAAUCUACUCCACCUGGUCAUAUUAAUACUCACAUUCCUCGAGGUACUGGCCGAGGAGGUGGAGUUGCGGCCAUAUUUGACUCAAACCUCUUGAUCAAUCCUAAGCCUAAACUAAACUAUAACUCUUUUGAAAGCCUUGUUCUUACGCUCUCAAACCCAACAUGGAAAACAAUAAAGCCAGUUUUAUUUGUUACUGUGUACCGCCCACCUGGUCCGUAUUCUGAAUUUCUAUCUGAAUUCUCAGAAUUUUUAUCAAAUUUAGUCCUUAAAACAGAUAAAGUAAUUAUUGUAGGUGACUUUAAUAUUCAUGUGGAUGUUGAUAGUGACAGCCUUAAUAAUGCAUUUAUCUCAAUAUUAGAUUCAAUUGGGUUCAGUCAGAAUGUACAUGAACCAACUCACUGUUUAAACCACACUCUGGACCUUGUUCUGGGAUAUGGUGUUGAAAUUGAAAGUUUAUCAGUGUGUCCACAUAAUCCUCUUUUAUCAGACCAUUUUUUAAUAACUUUUGAAGUCCUGUUACUGGACUACAAGCCAGUAGGCAAAAUAUCCUACGCUCGAUGUUUAUCUGAAAGUGCUGUGACUAAAUUUAAGGAAGUGAUUCCAUCAGCACUUAAUUCAAUACCAGGACUCAAUAUCAAUAUAACAGAGGACUCCAAUGCUAACUUUAGUCCCUCCCAAAUUAAUCAUCUUGUUGAUAGCGCUGCAGCCUCACUGCGAAUAACACUCGACUCUGUCGCUCCUCUAAAGAAGAAGAUCAUAAAACAGAAAAAGAAAGCUCCAUGGCUUAAUUUACAAAUCCGCAAACUAAAACAAAAGUCGAGAAAUCUUGAAAGUAAAUGGCGUUCCACUAAAUUGGAAGAAUCUCGUUUAGUCUGAUUAGAUCAUCUUAAAACGUAUAAGAAGGCUCUCCGUAAUGCCAGAGCAGCUUAUUACUCUUCCUUAAUAGAAGAAAAUAAGAACAACCCCAGGUUUCUUUUCAGCACUGUAGCCAGGCUGACAGAGAGCCACAGCUCUACAGAGCCUUCUGUUCCUAUAUCUCUCAGUAGUGACGACUUCAUGAGUUUCUUUAACCAUAAAAUUAUAAUUAUUAGAGACAAAAUUAAUCUCCUCCUGACCUCAAUUGGUAAUGACUUAACUUCAACUGUUGGAAUUUUAAAAACAUCUGUAACUCCUGAAAUAUAUCUAGACUGUUUUACUCCAAUCAACCUUAACCAACUAACUUCAACAAUCUCAUCGUCUAAACCAUCAACCUGUCUUUUGGACCCG